UUGCCAGCCCGCUCAAGAAACUUAAAGGAAGUUGACGGGGGCCCGCACAAGCGGUGGAGCAUGUGGUUUAAUUCGAUGAUACGCGAGGAACCUUACCUGGGCUCAAAUGUAUGUUGACGUAUUCUGAAAGGGAUACUUCUUCGGACAAUAUACAAGGUGCUGCAUGGUUGUCGUCAGCUCGUGCCGUGAGGUGUCGGGUUAAGUCCCAUAACGAGCGCAACCCCUAUCAUUAGUUGCCAUCAGGUCAAGCUGGGGACUCUAAUGAAACUGCCUACGCAAGUAGUGAGGAAGGUGGGGAUGACGUCAAAUCAGCACGGCCCUUACGUCCAGGGCUACACACGUGCUACAAUGGCCGGCACAACGGGAAGCGAGUUCGCGAGGACGAGCGGAUCCCUCAAAGCCGGUCGCAGUUCGGAUUGAAGUCUGCAACUCGACUUCAUGAAGCUGGAAUCGCUAGUAAUCGUGGAUCAGCCAAGCCGCGGUGAAUACGUUCCCGGGCCUU
RNAcentral lists this ribosomal RNA (502 nucleotides) under uncultured Bacteroidota bacterium. RNAcentral describes it as "bacterial SSU rRNA". It matches the Rfam family "Bacterial small subunit ribosomal RNA", at positions 903 to 1382 of the family's 1533-position model. Lineage: Bacteria; Pseudomonadati; Bacteroidota. The record is from RNAcentral.